CGUGUAGGCGGCCUUCUCAGUCUGGUGUGAAAGCCCGGGGCUCACCCCCGGAAGUGCAUUGGAUACUGGAAGGCUGGAGUACCGGAGAGGAGGGUGGAAUUCCUGGUGUAGCGGUGAAAUGCGUAGAUAUCAGGAGGAACACCGGUGGCGAAGGCGGCCCUCUGGACGGAUACUGACGCUGAGACGCGACAGCGUGGGGAGCAAACAGGAUUAGAUACCCUGGUAGUCCACGCCGUAAACGAUGGGUACUAGGUGUUCGGGGUAUUGACCCCCUGAGUGCCGCAGCUAACGCAUUAAGUACCCCGCCUGGGACUACGGCCGCAAGGCUAA
Molecule: ribosomal RNA, 330 nt
Filed under: uncultured bacterium
Lineage: Bacteria
Description: bacterial SSU rRNA
Rfam family: Bacterial small subunit ribosomal RNA
Source: RNAcentral